UACGUAGGGUGCAAGCGUUGUCCGGAAUUAUUGGGCGUAAAGAGCUCGUAGGCGGUCUGUCGCGUCGGACGUGAAAACCCCAGGGCUCAACCCUGGGCCUGCGUUCGAUACGGGCAGACUAGAGUUCGGUGAGGGGAGACUGGAAUUCCUGGUGUAGCGGUGAAAUGCGCAGAUAUCAGGAGGAACACCGGUGGCGAAGGCGGGUCUCUGGGCCGAAACUGACGCUGAGGAGCGAAAGCGUGGGGAGCGAACAGG
Molecule: ribosomal RNA, 255 nt
Filed under: uncultured bacterium
Lineage: Bacteria
Description: partial 16S ribosomal RNA
Rfam family: Bacterial small subunit ribosomal RNA
Source: RNAcentral